GUGGGGAAUAUUGGACAAUGGGCGAAAGCCUGAUCCAGCCAUGCCGCGUGUGUGAAGAAGGUCUUCGGAUUGUAAAGCACUUUAAGUUGGGAGGAAGGGCAGUAAGUUAAUACCUUGCUGUUUUGACGUUACUGACAGAAUAAGCACCGGCUAACUUCGUGCCAGCAGCCGCGGUAAUACGAAGGGUGCAAGCGUUAAUCGGAAUUACUGGGCGUAAAGCGCGCGUAGGUGGUUUUGUACGUUGGAGGUGAAAUCCCCGGGCUCAACCUGGGAACUGCCUCCAGAACUGGAAGACUAGAGUACGGUAGAGGGUAGUAGAAUUUCCUGUGUAGCGGUGAAAUGCGUAGAUAUAGGAAGGAACACCAGUGGCGAAGGCGACUACCUGGACUGAUACUGACACUGAGGUGCGAAAGCGUGGGGAGCAAACAGGAUUAGAAACCCGUGUAGUCC
This 450-nucleotide ribosomal RNA is filed under the name uncultured bacterium. Its description in RNAcentral is "partial 16S ribosomal RNA". It matches the Rfam family "Bacterial small subunit ribosomal RNA", at positions 354 to 796 of the family's 1533-position model. The record is from RNAcentral.